RNAcentral lists this ribosomal RNA (406 nucleotides) under uncultured Ruminococcus sp. RNAcentral describes it as "partial 16S ribosomal RNA". It matches the Rfam family "Bacterial small subunit ribosomal RNA", at positions 341 to 764 of the family's 1533-position model. The record is from RNAcentral. Lineage: Bacteria; Bacillati; Bacillota; Clostridia; Eubacteriales; Oscillospiraceae.
ACGGGAGGCAGCAGUGGGGAAUAUUGCACAAUGGGCGCAAGCCUGAUGUAGCGAUGCCGCGUGAGGGAAGAAGGUUUUCGGAUUGUAAACCUCUGUCAACAGGGACGAUAAUGACUGUACCUGUGAAGGAAGCUCCGGCUAACUACGUGCCAGCAGCCGCGGUAAUACGUAGGGAGCGAGCGUUAUCCGGAAUUACUGGGUGUAAAGGGAGUGUAGGCGGGACUGUAAGUCAGAUGUGAAAUAUGCCGGCUCAACUGGCAGACUGCAUUUGAAACUUCGGUUCUUGAGUGAAGUAGAGGUAAGCGGAAUUCCUAGUGUAGCGGUGAUAUGCGUAGAUAUUAGGAGGAACAUCAGUGGCGAAGGCGGCUUACUGGGCUUUAACUGACGCUGAGGCUCGAAAGCGUGG